GCCAGCCUCCGUGAGAUGCAGCUCGAGUCUGAGACAGCACGGGGCAAGGGUCAGGAGUGGUCAGCAACACCACAAGGCCUCCUGCCUGCCUGCCGCCCAGGAGAUGCUCUGCCACCCUUGGCAGAGAUGGGAGCCACAGAAGAAGCACCACGCUGAGAUAAAGCACAAUCCUGCAAUUCGGGCCUCGGGGAAGAGUGAGAUUUAUUAACCUGCAACCUGAUGGAAGCCUCAUGUCAGCCUGGCAGCAACCAGCAUGCGUGGGAAGGUCGAGGGGCCACAGGAGGAAUACUCUACCCCAGGACAUCCGCAGUGUGACCCGGCCCGUGCACACCCCCACCCCUUCUCAGGCUGCCUCUGCUCAGAGUCACACAGGAAGUUCCCGGAUGUCAGCAGCCAGCGGCAGGACACCCUGCUGGAGACAGAAGUUCCUGUGCCCCCGGCCAUCCCCAGCCCCCGUGAAACUGCUGUAUGGGACCCUCACCACCACUCUCCCCUCAGGAGGCUGGGGGAGAGGGGAGUGAGGCUGGAAACAGCAGCUAACACUCUCGUAGCACUUAC
Molecule: non-coding RNA, 558 nt
Organism: Odocoileus virginianus texanus
Lineage: Eukaryota; Metazoa; Chordata; Mammalia; Artiodactyla; Cervidae
Source: RefSeq, a predicted model, not a curated record